GACGAACGCUGGUGGCGUGCUUAACACAUGCAAGUCGAACGGUGAAGGGAAGCUUGCUUCCCGGAUCAGUGGCGAACGGUGAGUAACACGUGGGCAAUCUGCCCCAGACUUUGGGAUAACUACUCGAAAGAGUAGCUAAUACCGAAUAUUCAGCCUUGCAGGCAUCUGCGAGGCUGGAAAGUUUCUCGGUCUGGGAUGAGCCCGCGGCCUAUCAGCUAGUUGGUGAGGUAAUGGCUCACCAAGGCGACGACGGGUAGCCGGCCUGAGAGGGCGACCGGCCACACUGGGACUGAGACACGGCCCAGACUCCUACGGGAGGCAGCAGUGGGGAAUAUUGCGCAAUGGGCGAAAGCCUGACGCAGCAACGCCGCGUGCGGGAUGAAGG
RNAcentral lists this ribosomal RNA (385 nucleotides) under uncultured bacterium. Its description in RNAcentral is "bacterial SSU rRNA". It matches the Rfam family "Bacterial small subunit ribosomal RNA", at positions 28 to 414 of the family's 1533-position model. The record is from RNAcentral.